AAAGACAGACACUACCUCAGAGUAAAAGGUUGGAAUACAAUUUUUCAAGCAAAUAGUUCCAAGAAACAAGCUGGAGUAGCCAUUCUAAUAUCAAAUAAAAUCAACUUUUAACAAAAAGUUAUCAGAAAGGAUAAGGAAGGACACUUCAUAGUUGUCAAAGGAAAAAAUCUACCAAGAUGAACUCUCAAUUCUGAAUAUUGAUGCUCCAAAUGCAAGAGCACCCACAUUCAUAAAAGAAACUCCAGUAAAGCUCAAAGCAUACAAUGCACACCACAAAAUAAUAGUGGCAGACUUCAACACCCUAUUCUCAGCAAUGGACAGAUCAUGAAAACAGAAACUAAAGAGAGACACAUUGAAACUCACAGAAGUUAUAAACCAAAUGGAUCUAACAGAUAUUUAUGGAACACUUCAUCUUAAAGCAAAAGAAUAUACUUUCUUCUCAGCACCUCAUGGUACCUUCUCCAAAAUUGACAAUAUAAUUGUCCACAAAAUAGGCCUCAACAGAUACAAGAAGAUUGGAAUAAUUCUAUGUACCCUAUCAGAUCACAACAGACAAAGGCUGGUCUUAAUUUCCAGCAAAAACAAUGGAAAACACACAUACACGUGGAAAGUGAACAAAGGUCUACUCAAUGAUAACUUGGUCAAGGAAGAAAUAAAGAAAGAAAUUAGAGACUUUUUAGAAUUUAAUGAAAAUGAAGACACAUCAUACCAAAACUUAUAGGAUACAAUGAAAGUAGUGGUAAAAGGAAAACUCAUAGCUCUAAGUGCCUCCAAAAAGAAACUGCAGAGAGCUUGCAAUAGUAGCUUAACAGCACACCUGAAAGCUCUAGAACAAAAAGAAGCAAAUAUACCCAAAAGGAGUAGGGAGCCGGAGAAAAUCAAACUCAGGGCUGAAAUCAACCAAAUAGAAACAAAAAGAAGUAUACAAAGAAUCAACAAAACCAAGAGCUGAUUCUUUGAGAAAAUCUACAAGAUAGAUAAACCCUUAGCCAGACUAACCAGAGACAGUAUCCAAAUUAAUAAAAUCAGAAAUGAAAAGGGAGAGGUAACAACAGAAACUGUGGAAAUUCAAAAAAUCAUCAGAUCCUACUACAAAAGUUUAUACUCAACUUAAUUGGAAAAUCUGGUGAAAUGGACAGUUUUCUAGACAUAUGCAAGUUGCCAAAGUUAAAACAGGAUCAGAUAUACUAUUUAAACUGUCCCAUGACUCUGAAAGAAAUAGAAGCAGUCAUUAAUAGUCUCCAAACC
Molecule: long non-coding RNA, 1248 nt
Filed under: Mus musculus (house mouse)
Lineage: Eukaryota; Metazoa; Chordata; Mammalia; Rodentia; Muridae
Description: long non-coding RNA chr10:25135000-25136248
Source: RNAcentral